This is a small nucleolar RNA of Corvus moneduloides (New Caledonian crow), 90 nucleotides long. Lineage: Eukaryota; Metazoa; Chordata; Aves; Passeriformes; Corvidae. The record is from Ensembl.
AGGUUAUGAUGUCCAAACUCACGAUGGUCUGCAGAGUCCCCCAGGUGAGGGGCUGCUGACAAUGCCACUGGCACGUGCUGAACCGUGGGG